RNAcentral lists this unclassified non-coding RNA (324 nucleotides) under soil metagenome. Its description in RNAcentral is "partial contains 5.8S ribosomal RNA, internal transcribed spacer 2, and large subunit ribosomal RNA". The stretch from base 1 to 120 matches the Rfam family "5.8S ribosomal RNA", at positions 35 to 154 of the family's 154-position model. The record is from RNAcentral.
GAUGAAGAACGUAGCGAAAUGUGAUAAGUAGUGUGAAUUGCAGAAUUCAGUGAAUCAUCGAAUCUUUGAACGCACAUUGCGCCCCUUGGUAUUCCAUGGGGCAUGCCUGUUCGAGCGUCAUUUGUACCUUCAAGCUUUGCUUGGUGUUGGGUGUUUGUCCCGAGGGACUCGCCUUAAAGUAAUUGGCAGCCAGUGUUUGGUUUUGAAGCGCAGCACAAGUCGCGAUUCAAGGCUACACGCCCGCUUCCACAAGCCUUUUUUCACUUUUGACCUCGGAUCAGGUUGGGAUACCCGCUGAACUUAAGCAUAUCAAUAAGCGGAGGA